Molecule: transfer RNA, 70 nt
Filed under: Stenocranius gregalis (narrow-headed vole)
Lineage: Eukaryota; Metazoa; Chordata; Mammalia; Rodentia; Cricetidae
Description: tRNA-Val
Source: RNAcentral
CAUGRUGUAGCUUAAUUAGCAAAGCACCUGGCCUACACCCAGAAGACUCCACAAACAAUGGACAUCAUGA